This is a non-coding RNA of Ictidomys tridecemlineatus (thirteen-lined ground squirrel), 69 nucleotides long. Lineage: Eukaryota; Metazoa; Chordata; Mammalia; Rodentia; Sciuridae. The record is from Rfam.
GGGGAUAUAGCUUAGUUGUUAAAGGGCUUGCCUAGCAUAAGUCUCUGGGUUCAAUCCCCAGUAUCAUCC